RNAcentral lists this long non-coding RNA (281 nucleotides) under Nicotiana benthamiana. Its description in RNAcentral is "long non-coding RNA (NBEN_LNC012726)". Lineage: Eukaryota; Viridiplantae; Streptophyta; Magnoliopsida; Solanales; Solanaceae. The record is from RNAcentral.
UGUGUUAUCAUGUUCCAGAUUAGACAUAUAUAAAAUGAUAGAAAGAAUGACUUUUCGUAUGUAAAUCACAUUUUAAUUCGUCAAACCUCCAAAAAACUCAUCUAAACGAUCCCGAAUCGUCAAAAUACGAUGUGAUUCACUCAUAGCAGUGAGUUCUUCUUAAUUGACCGUUUUCGAUGAUCCUAUCGAAUUUCAGGUCAUUUGGAGAUCGUAAAAUUCAUGAUCGCCAAAACUGGACCAAAUUCGAAUAAAUUAUUUUUGGCGUAUUUAGGAUUAAACCC